UACAGAGGUCCCAAGCGUUGUUCGGAUUCACUGGGCGUAAAGGGUGCGUAGGCGGGUCUUUAAGUCAGGGGUGAAAUCCUGGAGCUCAACUCCAGAACUGCCUUUGAUACUGAAGGUCUUGAGUCCGGGAGAGGUGAGUGGAACUGCGAGUGUAGAGGUGAAAUUCGUAGAUAUUCGCAAGAACACCAGUGGCGAAGGCGGCUCACUGGCCCGGUACUGACGCUGAGGCACGAAAGCGUGGGGAGCAAACAGG
Molecule: ribosomal RNA, 253 nt
Filed under: uncultured bacterium
Lineage: Bacteria
Description: partial 16S ribosomal RNA
Rfam family: Bacterial small subunit ribosomal RNA
Source: RNAcentral